Molecule: ribosomal RNA, 253 nt
Filed under: uncultured bacterium
Lineage: Bacteria
Description: partial 16S ribosomal RNA
Rfam family: Bacterial small subunit ribosomal RNA
Source: RNAcentral
UACGUAGGGUGCGAGCGUUGUCCGGAAUUAUUGGGCGUAAAGAGCUCGUAGGCGGUCUGUCGCGUCUGCUGUGAAAUCCCGAGGCUCAACCUCGGGCUUGCAGUGGGUACGGGCAGGCUAGAGUGCGGUAGGGGAGAAUGGAACUCCUGGUGUAGCGGUGAAAUGCGCAGAUAUCAGGAAGAACACCGAUGGCGAAGGCAGUUCUCUGGGCCGUAACUGACGCUGAGGAGCGAAAGCGUGGGGAGCGAACAGG